RNAcentral lists this long non-coding RNA (1958 nucleotides) under Ursus maritimus (polar bear). RNAcentral describes it as "lncRNA (ENSUMAG00000004456.1)". The record is from RNAcentral. Lineage: Eukaryota; Metazoa; Chordata; Mammalia; Carnivora; Ursidae.
UAUGAAAAAAGCUAAAAAUUACAUUAAAAAUUAAAAGUUAAAAAUCUGGGUGUAGUCAGAUAGAAAAUAAUUAUGGUAUUAUUAUGAAUGGAGUUAAACCUUUGGGGUGAUAUUGCAAAACAUCACAAAGGGAUUUGGCUGCCCAAUUUCUAUAAAUGUUUUAAAAAUGAACUCCUUGCUGAAUAAUUUUCUAAAAGGAAAUAAAUAACAACUUUGAGUUUAUGGGCUCCACUACAUUUUCCUUGGCAGCCCUAUCCCGCUCUCUCAGCUGAUGGGAAUUAAUUUAUAGCAAGAACACUUGGUAUACAAAAUUUCUUGUUGAGUCCCGUCUGUAGUGUGCUUUGAUGUCAGAAGCUCUGAAUUUCACAGCUUUGGGGUCCUGUUUAGUGUGAGCCUGAAGAUUUCUUUGAAAGAUACUUUCAUUGGAUAAUUUUAAAGUAACUGUUAUACAUUUAAAACCUGGGAAUUCUUCAUGCUGUUUAAAUAAAUGACCAAUAUGGCGUUGCCUUUAAUCUGUCUUCAAUUAUAUAAUACUGCUGAUUUCAGAGAGAUUUCCUUUAAAUGCACAUCUUAGAAUUGACAAUUCCUUUAAAUACAAUGGGCCUCAGAUCAAAAGUGACUUAAAAGUUAUCUUCAUAUUAUACUGUUUAAAAGUAACAUGCAUUUUACUAGGAUCAUCGAUCUAUAUCCUUUUAAAAAAGAUUUUAUUAAUUUAGAGAGACAGACUGUAUGUGCAUGUGAGGGGGAUUAGGUAGGGGCAGAGGGAAAGGGGGAGACAGAAUCUCAAGCAGACUCAGAGCUGGGCAUGGAGCACUACCCAGGGCUUGAUCUCACUACCCUGAGAUCACAACCUGAGCUGAAACCAAGAAUCAGAGGCUUAACUGAGCCAUCCAGGCGCCUCAAUCUAUAUCCUUUUUUUAUAUCAAAAAUAAAUGUGGUUUUGCAUGUGGCCCUAUAGGUGCUUCCUCUAAAAUACAUCUCAAUUCUAUCUACCUGCCUUUUUAACCACCGUUCUCACCCAUGCCUAAGCCACCACCCACUGUCGUCUCUGGCUUGGGCUACUAGGAUGGCUUUCUCAUUGGUCUUCAUUCUUCCAUUCUUGCCCCAGCAACACCAUAAAGCUGACAACCUAAAUUGGAUUCUUUCAGUAACCUCCUAUCGCCCUUGCAAUUAAACCCAAGCUCCUCAUUGUAGCUUAUGAAGCCCUGAACCAACUUACACCAAUUCUCCUGCCUCCAACCUGUCUCUGAGUCAUUCUCUCCUUCUCCAUCUCUGCUUUAUCAUUUUAGCCUUCUUUCAUCUGAUAGAUCAAGUCAAGAUUUUUCCUUCCUUAGGACUUGAAGUGAUGGGACUCCUUCUGCCUGGAUGUCUUUUCCACUCUACCUGUUGUCAUCAUUGCGUUCUCUUGAUCUUCAUGAAGUUUCAGUUUGAUGUUGUACCCUGAACAAGUCUGUCCCUCCCAUCCAACUUAAACUAGGUCUUCUCUGUUAUUAUGCUAACUCAGUCAGACAGAGAAGGACACAUACCCCAUGACAUCACUUAUAUGCGGAAUCUAAAGAACAAAACAAACAAAUAACAAAAACCAGAAACAGACCCAUAAAUACACAGAGAACAAGGUAUUGCCAGAGGGGUAGAGGGUGGGGAAAUGGACAAAAUGAGUAAAGGGGAGUGGGAGGUACAGGCUUCCAGUUAUGGGAUGAAUAAGUCACAGAGAUAAAGAUACAGCAUAGGGAACAGAGUUGUGGUAUUAAUAGUGUUGUAUGGUGACAGAUGGUAGCUACACUUGUGGUGAGCAUAGCAUAAUGUAUAGAUUUGUCAAAUCACUGUUGUCCACCUGAAACUAACAUUGUGUGUCAACUAUACUUUAAUUUAAAAAAAUACUAAAAUAACUCCUCUUCCAUUCUUUUCCACUCUCAUCCCCAUAAUUUUCCUUCAUAACACUUUUUCAUAAUUGAGAA